This 258-nucleotide ribosomal RNA is filed under the name uncultured Glomus. RNAcentral's name for it is "partial 18S ribosomal RNA". It matches the Rfam family "Eukaryotic small subunit ribosomal RNA", at positions 624 to 886 of the family's 1831-position model. Lineage: Eukaryota; Fungi; Glomeromycota; Glomeromycetes; Glomerales; Glomeraceae. The record is from RNAcentral.
AAGCUCGUAGUUGAAUUUCGGGGUCAGUAGGUUGGUCGUGCCACCGGUACGUACUGGUCUCACUGAUUCCUCCUUCCUGAUGAGCUGUAAUGCCAUUAAUUUGGUGUUGCAGGGAAUCUGGACUGUUACUUUGAAAAAAUUAGAGUGUUUAAAGCAGGCUAACGCUUGAAUACAUUAGCAUGGAAUAAUGAAAUAGGACGUUCGAUCCUAUUUUGUUGGUUUCUAGGAUUGACGUAAUGAUUAAUAGGGAUAGUUGGG